RNAcentral lists this unclassified non-coding RNA (330 nucleotides) under soil metagenome. RNAcentral describes it as "partial contains 5.8S ribosomal RNA, internal transcribed spacer 2, and large subunit ribosomal RNA". The stretch from base 1 to 120 matches the Rfam family "5.8S ribosomal RNA", at positions 35 to 154 of the family's 154-position model. The record is from RNAcentral.
GAUGAAGAACGCAGCGAAAUGCGAUAAGUAAUGUGAAUUGCAGAAUUCAGUGAAUCAUCGAAUCUUUGAACGCACAUUGCGCCCCUUGGUAUUCCGAGGGGCAUGCCUGUUCGAGCGUCAUUAUAACCCCUCAAGCUCAGCUUGGUGUUGGGGCCUGCUGCACUGGCAGCCCUUAAAAUCAGUGGCGGCGCCAUCUGGCUCUAAGCGUAGUAAUUCUUCUCGCUAUGGAGUCCUGGUGGAUGCUUGCCAUCAACCCCCAAUUUUUCUAUGGUUGACCUCGGAUCAGGUAGGGAUACCCGCUGAACUUAAGCAUAUCAAUAAGCGGAGGAU